Molecule: long non-coding RNA, 1984 nt
Organism: Trifolium pratense (red clover)
Lineage: Eukaryota; Viridiplantae; Streptophyta; Magnoliopsida; Fabales; Fabaceae
Exons: 3
Source: RefSeq, a predicted model, not a curated record
AAUUAUUUUAAUAAAAAUAUAUACUUCCCCGAAGAGAAAAACAAAACACGCCUUUCCAUUCCCAAAUUUCAGAAUCCAUUCCAAUAUUCAAGAUUCAAAAAACACAAUAUGCGAUUUCUUCCCAAAAUCGAUUCUUCCGUUCUUCUUCUACUUAAAAUUGAUUCUCAAAACGCAAUUGAGAAACGUGAUUCUUUUCAUUCCGAUCUGUUGUUUCUUCUGGCAAAGAACCCUAAUUCGCUAUGUUCCGUUGAUUAUUGUCGCAAACUCAUAAAUUGAUUCUUCUUCCUAAACUUACGAAACCUAGUCCAUUCAUGGACCUGAGAAAGAUGGGGAAACACGAUUCAUUCAAAGAAAUCGACGAACCCUAGUCUCAUUCAAAAAACAUGAUUCCUUCUCUACUCUUUGUCUCGGCAAAACUCUAGCGACUUAUCCGCAAUCCAUGGUGCUCAUCCGUAGUCAUCGUGGUUGCUCAAUCUCUAAUAUGUCGUCGUAGUUACCAAGGUCUAUAUAUUCUUGUUUGAUCCCUUUCUCUAGCGGUUCCUUUUUGUUACAUCCGGAGUUGAUGCGUUUUCUUAUUCGCUAUUAUGUGUUUGGUACUUACUGCUUUGUGUUUUUUCUGGGUUUCUAGUUUGUGACCACAAAUUGUUAUCAUUGCUCAAUACUUUUAUCAUUUAUUUGUUGCUCACCAAGUGUUUGACAUAAAUACUCAGACAAACUAUAGUCUGCUGAUGUGCUUUAGUAUGAGUUUGUGUUGAUCAUUGUAUGAUAUGACUCUAGUCCCUUGAUUGCAUCUAUAAUGUUCUCAUGGUUAACCAAUUAAUCCAACUAGAGUACACAUUGUCUCUGUGUUAGAUGUAUUGGAGCAAACAUCAAUUGUGCUCUUCCUCUCGUCUAAAUGUGUGCCGAUACUUCUCUUUGGUCAAAUUUGAUUCUUCUCUUCUACCAGGUAAUAGAAGGAAAUGACAGCUAUAAAGAAGAACUAGUAUUGGAGAAAAGUGGCAGAGUUAAUCAGAAGAAAACAGGAGGAAUUAUAAGUUGCAGUCCUCUUGCUGGGCACUAAAGAGAAAAUAUGUGAAGUCAUUUCAUUUAUUUCUUGAUUACAUCAUCUCUUUUUAGUCACUUUCAUUUGUUUGUCUUAUUCCCAAUUUUUCAAAUUAUUUUUACAGUACAUAUUCAUUUUAAAUCCAAUUCAAAGAAUGACUUAUGAGAUGGUUGUUCAUCAUCUCUAUUGAUAAUUUUGACACCUCUAAAUAUGUUUUGUUCAGUUAGACAAAGUGCUAUGAUAUUUUUAUUUUUCAGUUUUUUUUCUUAUUCCUUGCAUGCUAAAUCUAAAUUAGUUAAUUUGUUUCUUGUAUUUUUCAAUCAAUGAAUUAAUUAAAGUUUUUCUAUUGUAUAUGAAGAGAUGUGAUGUAGCAUUGCAAUUACAUGUCUCCGUAGCUAGCUGAACAUGAAAGAAACAAUGUGAAAUUCUCUUUAUUCUGUUGAAGCUAUAGACAAACUUUGCCUGCAUCCAUUUGAGUUACUAAUUAAUUUUGUUGUUCAUUCCUUGCACAUUUUGCUCUUUUAUAAGUAUAAUCAUAAAAUCAGGUUCUAUGUGCAAAAGGUCUGUUCUCGAAUUAGCUUCAAUAGUUCCUCCCAAAUUCCAAUAAUCAUUUCAUUUUCGGAUUAAUUAUAUUAUAUAGUACUUAUAUUGUAAUUCUUUUUAUCUUGGAUCAGGCUGACCCGAAAAGGUCGAUAUUUUUGGCUUAUGGGGGCUUAUUUCUAGUUACAUGUAUACAAGAAAUUUGGAAGGUAGAGAGGACGACAAAAUACUACUUUAUAAUAUGUUGUAGUGUCGUAUCUUAGUGAAGUUAAUCUUAGUUUAUGAUGUAUUCUUAUGUUUUAGUUAAGAAAUCAUAGUAAUAAUGUAUUGUUCUUUAGGAUAUUUAAUGACUAUGUACAUGUUCAAUAUACUAGUAUAACUUGUAUUGUUAUAUAACAGAAA